ACGCACGCUGGCGGUGUGCUUAACACAUGCAAGUCGAACGGUAAGGCCCUUUCGGGGGUACACGAGUGGCGAACGGGUGAGUAACACGUGAGUAACCUGCCCUCAUCUCUGGGAUAACAGUCGGAAACGGUUGCUAAUACUGGAUAUGAGCUUGCAAGGCAUCUUGUGGGUUGGAAAGAUUUUUUUUGGUUGGGGAUGGACUCGCGGCCUAUCAGCUUGUUGGUGAGGUAGUGGCUCACCAAGGCUUCGACGGGUAGCCGGCCUGAGAGGGCGACCGGCCACAUUGGGACUGAGAGACGGCCCAAACUCCUACGGGAGGCAGCAGUGGGGAAUAUUGCACAAUGGACGGAAGUCUGAUGCAGCAACGCCGCGUGCGGGAUGACGGCCUUCGGGUUGUAAACCGCUUUCAAUUGUGACGAAGCUUUUUUGUGACGGUAGCAGUAGAAGAAGCACCGGCUAACUACGUG
This 467-nucleotide ribosomal RNA is filed under the name uncultured bacterium. RNAcentral describes it as "partial 16S ribosomal RNA". It matches the Rfam family "Bacterial small subunit ribosomal RNA", at positions 29 to 507 of the family's 1533-position model. The record is from RNAcentral.